GCGGAGGAAAAGAAACUAACAAGGAUUCCCCUAGUAACGGCGAGUGAAGCGGGAAGAGCUCAAAUUUGUAAUCUGGCCCUUUCAGGGUCCGAGUUGUAAUCUCGAGAAGUGUUUUCCGCGCCGGACCGCAUACAAGUCUGUUGGAAUACAGCGUCAUAGUGGUGAGAGCCCCGUAAUUGAUGUGGAUGCCCGGUGCUUUGUGAUACACUUUCGAAGAGUCGAGUUGUUUGGGAAUGCAGCUCAAAUUGGGUGGUAAAUUCCAUCUAAAGCUAAAUAUUGGCGAGAGACCGAUAGCGAACAAGUACCGUGAGGGAAAGAUGAAAAGCACUUUGGAAAGAGAGUUAACAGUACGUGAAAUUGUUGGAAGGGAAACGCUUGAAGUCAGACUUGCUAUUCGGAAUUCAGCCGCAAGGUGUACUUUUCGAUUUGCAGGCCAGCAUCAGUUUUUGGGGGUGGAAAAGGGUGGAGAGAAGGUAGCAACCUUGGUUGUGUUAUAGCUCUUUACUGGAUUCAUCUUUGGGGACUGAGGAUCGCAGUGCGCAAUUUACUUUGCAAACCUUUCGAGGUUUUCGUACUUAGGAUGCUGGUGGAAUGGCUUUAAACGACCCGUCU
This 612-nucleotide ribosomal RNA is filed under the name Glaciozyma watsonii. RNAcentral describes it as "partial large subunit ribosomal RNA". It matches the Rfam family "Eukaryotic large subunit ribosomal RNA", at positions 50 to 654 of the family's 3401-position model. Lineage: Eukaryota; Fungi; Basidiomycota; Microbotryomycetes; Kriegeriales; Camptobasidiaceae. The record is from RNAcentral.